GGUAAAGUGGCUGAGCAUAAGGCAUCGGAUUGUAAUCCCGAACAUGAAGGUUUUAAUCCUUUUUUUACCA
RNAcentral lists this transfer RNA (70 nucleotides) under Scolecomorphus vittatus. Its description in RNAcentral is "tRNA-Tyr". It matches the Rfam family "tRNA". Rfam says of the family: Transfer RNA (tRNA) molecules are approximately 80 nucleotides in length. Their secondary structure includes four short double-helical elements and three loops (D, anti-codon, and T loops). Further hydrogen bonds mediate the characteristic L-shaped molecular structure. tRNAs have two regions of fundamental functional importance: the anti-codon, which is responsible for specific mRNA codon recognition, and the 3' end, to which the tRNAs corresponding amino acid is attached (by aminoacyl-tRNA synthetases). tRNAs cope with the degeneracy of the genetic code in two manners: having more than one tRNA (with a specific anti-codon) for a particular amino acid; and 'wobble' base-pairing, i.e. permitting non-standard base-pairing at the 3rd anti-codon position. Lineage: Eukaryota; Metazoa; Chordata; Amphibia; Gymnophiona; Scolecomorphidae. The record is from RNAcentral.